This 984-nucleotide long non-coding RNA is filed under the name Callithrix jacchus (white-tufted-ear marmoset). RNAcentral describes it as "lncRNA (ENSCJAG00000075566.1)". The record is from RNAcentral. Lineage: Eukaryota; Metazoa; Chordata; Mammalia; Primates; Cebidae.
GUUUACUUUGAUGCUUUCGGAAUUCCCCUACUAGCUGCAGUGGUUUCCUGCCGUUUGCUAGCUGGAGAGUUGCCUGUGCACACUCUCUCAGCCUUUGGGAUGAGCCCUUGCCUCUCCGAGCUUGUCUUAACACAUUAUUUAUUCUGCAGCUCUUCUCCUGGCCUGAGCAGUACCGGGGUUGCUACGACUGCACUAAGGGGCCUAACCCUCUUGCCCCAGCCUUUGAGGGGGAAAAGAUUGUUCCUGACUCCGUUUAUUUCCAGGUAGAAAAGAAUCAGCUCUGCAGCGUGAAGGCGAAGGCGAGGGGCUGCAGCCAAGUUUCCCAGGAAUCAGGAGUUGUCAGCAGGGACAGAUUCUCUCUCUGGAGCUGCGUGGUCUCUGGUCUGCACAUCUGCUCUCUUCUCCUCUAGUCUGGCUUCCUCUGUAAGUAGUUGUAACGUGGCCUGUCCUUGACUAUCCUUACCAUUACAAGGAUUCUGACCUCAGCCUCACAGCACCAGCACCAAUCUCCGUAGGGCUGUAGCUUUUUUUGUCUCUUACUCCACACUUGUUGUUCCUCUCAAGAUUCUGAUCGGCUCAGCCCUGUCAGGUGUCCACGCUCAGUCAAAGCGGCUGUGCUAAGGGGCCAACAUGCAGGGCUUCUCCAAAGCCCUUUUAAGCAAGGUUGGGGGACCCCACUCAAUGGGAAGGCUCGGUGAGGUGGGUUAAAGAAAAUACAGCCUUGACAAACUUGUUCAAACAUUAUCAGAAACUUGAAGAAAAAAAUCAAAGUUUCAGGAUAUAUUUUGGCUGCUUUCCAAAAUGCACAUUAUUUUGGAUUAUUCAUGGAACGAGGUGGGUGGGCACCAUAAUCUUUUUCUUGCUUAAGGUCCUGGAAGGAGCAAGGGCUUGGCAUGAGCCCCAAAUAUGCCCCAGAGAGAAAGCAACAGGGUGUGUGUAGAGACCAAAGACCUGUAGAUUGAGACAUAUUAGGAGGUGGGGGAG